This 72-nucleotide transfer RNA is filed under the name Ruminococcus sp. Its description in RNAcentral is "tRNA-Gln". It matches the Rfam family "tRNA". Rfam says of the family: Transfer RNA (tRNA) molecules are approximately 80 nucleotides in length. Lineage: Bacteria; Bacillati; Bacillota; Clostridia; Eubacteriales; Oscillospiraceae. The record is from RNAcentral.
UUCCGUUUCGUCUAAUGGGCAGGACAUCGGUCUUUGAAUCCGAUAAUGGAAGUUCGAGCCUUCCAGCGGGAA